RNAcentral lists this ribosomal RNA (304 nucleotides) under Cylindrospermopsis raciborskii S07. Its description in RNAcentral is "bacterial LSU rRNA". It matches the Rfam family "Bacterial large subunit ribosomal RNA", at positions 389 to 694 of the family's 2925-position model. The record is from RNAcentral. Lineage: Bacteria; Bacillati; Cyanobacteriota; Cyanophyceae; Nostocales; Aphanizomenonaceae.
AAAGGAUAGAAGCUGAAUCCCGAGUAGUACGGGGCACGAGAAAUCCCGUAUGAAUCAGCGAGGACCAUCUCGUAAGGCUAAAUACUACUGUGUGACCGAUAGAGAACAAGUACCGCGAGGGAAAGGUGAAAAGAACCCCGGGAGGGGAGUGAAAAAGAACAUGAAACCGUGAGCUUACAAGCAGUGGGAGUCCGAUUAAACGGAUGACCGCGUGCCUGUUGAAGAAUGAGCCGGCGACUUAUAGGUACUGGUAGGUUAAAGCGGGAAUGCUGGAGCCAAAGGGAAACCGAGUCUGAAAAGGGCG